This 2070-nucleotide long non-coding RNA is filed under the name Podarcis lilfordi (Lilford's wall lizard). Lineage: Eukaryota; Metazoa; Chordata; Lepidosauria; Squamata; Lacertidae. The record is from RNAcentral.
GGCUCCUUCUUUUGGGAUGCUGAUGCAGACACUUAAGGGGCCAGCUAAGGCCAUUGCCUUACAAAAGGAACUUGCCUGACCAUCUCAGCCACUUCCUUUAUUACAGUCUAGCCCUCCCCAGGUGCAGGGCCCCAAGCCAGAUGGACCCUCGCAACCCACAACAGUGUCAAUACCAUCACAGAUGCUUAGUGCUGAGACACACAUUUGUGGAGGCCCUCAAUGAGAGGAUGGAGUGAAAGGUCUUCUGAGCUCUGCGGGUCCCUGGAAGCCAAGCCAAGGUGAAAAGUGGCAGAGGUAGCUCCUUUAAGUUAAGCUCAUAAUUAGCUGAGUGAUUACAACUUUUGGGCGGGGUAGGUGGAUGGGGGGAAUCACCUUUAUGGAGGAGGGGAGUUUUUUCCCACCUCACAAUGGGCAUUGGUGGUGUUUAGCUUUGUGUGUGUAAUGUACAUGUGGGACAAGAAAGAGGGGUCUUGUGGUCUUGAUUGGGGCGGGGAGGACAACCCCAUGAAAUGUUUGGGGAAAAUUGGGGGGGGAGCACUCAAAGAGGAAAGAAACUCCUAGAGACAUAUAAUCAUUGUGUAGGAAGGGACCCCUGAAUGUCACCUAUUCCACCCCUUGUCAGAAAGAACACCCUCAUGUCCAGUUGCAAUCUCCUUUUUUGAAAUUUGAAUCCAUUAGUUCAGCUCCUCCCCUCUAGAGCAAGAGAAAACCAGCUUGUUCCAUCUUCCAUUGUGACACCCCUUUGGAUAGUCAAAGAUGGUUCUCCCAUCACCUCUCAGUCUCCUCUUUGCCAGGGUAAACAUAAAAAAGGUAAAGGGACCCCUGACCAUUAGGUCCAGUCUUGGCCGACUCUGGGGUUGCGGCGCUCAUCUCGCUUUACUGGCCGAGGGAGCCGGUGUGCAGCUUCCAGGUCAUGUGGCCAGCAUGACUAAGCCACUUCUGGCGAACCAGAGCAGCGCACGGAAAUGCCGUUUACCUUCCCGCUAGAGCGGUACCUAUUUAUCUACUUGCACUUUGAUGUGCUUUUGAACUGCUAGGUUGGCAGGAGCAGGGACCGAGCAACGGGAGCUCACCCCGUCAUGGGGAUUCAAACCGCCGACCUUCUGAUCGGCAAGCCCUAGGCUCUGUGGUUUAACCCACAGCGCCACCCACAUCCCAGGCUAAACAUAUCCAUCUCCUAAAACCAGCUUUGCUGGCUGUUGGCUUCUGGGGCUUGUGCCAGGUCACAUUUGACUGGAAAGGUUUCUUUUCCCGGCAAACUGUGCUGUGCUUGUUAGAUAACAGAGCAUUGUUUGCUGGACGGAUUCACAUUCCGAACCGGAAUCUCAUUGCAAAUGCAGGCAAGAGCUCUAGUCAGAACAUCGGAGCAGGAGAUCGCCCCGUUUCCCCAGCAAGCCCUCCUUCCCACUGGAUGCAAGGCAGCAAAUCUUCGCUUGGAAUAACUUGCUCCGGGGCCUUUGCUUAAUGAACUUGCUGGGGAAUUAGGCAGACCAAGCCGGCAUGCUUGCCCCAGCGGGGGAGAGAAAAGCUUGGCUCAGCCGCCUUCCCUUCUCCAUGCUCAAUUAGCAGCAGAAACAGCCAGUGGAGGAGGAGGAGGAGGCACAGCAAAGGCCUCUGCCGUUGCCUGGCGGGGUGCCAAGGAGACAGCCUAGCUGUGGAGAGGCAACAAAUACAGAAUUCAAAUAAUGGAAUUGUACAGCUGGAAGGGACCCACGGGGUCAUCCAGUCCAACCCCCUGCGAUGCAGGAAUCCCAGCCAAAGCAUCCAUGAAAGAUGGCCAUCCAACCUCUUCUAGGAAACCUCCAAGGAAGGAGAGUCUACAAACUCCAGAGGGAGACAGUUCCACUGUCCAACGGCUCUCAGUGUCAGAAACUCUACCCUUCUGCGAUUCAAUGAAAUUGCUUUAAGGAUUUUAAGUCUCUAAGGAUUGGAGAAUCUUUAAAGAAUAUUUAGAAAACUAUGGAAUAAAAGGAAACAUCUUGGCAGAAUUAGACUGAUCCCUGUAUUGUAUAAACAUAAGUUUGUAGGGAGAUAAAAAGAAAUUACAUAAGAAAUAUGUAACUGUGCGGU